CUGGGGAACCCCCAAAACACGGAGUGGGGGCUCUCCUUGAAGUGGAAACAAAGUCCUUCUGGAGCUGUAAGACACCAGGGGCACAAAGAUUAAUGACAGCCUGGUGAGGUUUCAGCACAAAUACCUUUGCACAUUGGAAGCUCUGCAAAGACACAGUGAUUCAUGCCUCUGGAAGGGAAAAGAAAGCUGAGGCAGGACAUGCAAGCUGUGAGAGGAUCCGAUAUCAAAAGAGCUGGAGCCUCUCGUGAGCACCCAGCCGUACCAACACAAAUACAUCCCUGCACGACUCACGGCGGAGCCACAGCUGAACGCAGGCCGUCGCUUUAGUGAGCGCUAAGCUGAUUUGGCUGCGCAGCUCAUUCAUCGAGGAGCAAAGAAGACAGGGCAGGAAGCAUCACUCAGUAAUGAAUUACACACGACACAAAAAAGCCACAGGUGUGGUUUUAGAGUCUGUGCAUGCAGCCGCCGCAGCCCUGGAUUCCACGUAAUUGCUCUCCCAUUCCUGUGACGUGGGAAGUCUCUCCAUGUGCUGACUUCAGGACAUCAAGUUAUCCUCAAG
This 559-nucleotide long non-coding RNA is filed under the name Gallus gallus (chicken). Its description in RNAcentral is "long non-coding RNA NONGGAT008630". Lineage: Eukaryota; Metazoa; Chordata; Aves; Galliformes; Phasianidae. The record is from RNAcentral.